UACGUAUGGUGCAAGCGUUAUCCGGAUUUACUGGGUGUAAAGGGAGCGCAGGCGGCACGGCAAGCCUGAUGUGAAAGCCCGCGGCCCAACCGCGGGACUGCAUUGGGAACUACCGGGCUGGAGUGCCGGAGAGGUAGGCGGAAUUCCUAGUGUAGCGGUGAAAUGCGUAGAUAUUAGGAGGAACACCAGUGGCGAAGGCGGCCUACUGGACCGUGACUGACGUUGAGGCUCGAGAGCGUGGGGAGCAAACAGG
This 253-nucleotide ribosomal RNA is filed under the name uncultured bacterium. Its description in RNAcentral is "partial 16S ribosomal RNA". It matches the Rfam family "Bacterial small subunit ribosomal RNA", at positions 524 to 776 of the family's 1533-position model. The record is from RNAcentral.